UACGUAGGGUGCAAGCGUUGUCCGGAAUUAUUGGGCGUAAAGAGCUCGUAGGCGGUCUGUCGCGUCUGCUGUGAAAACUCAGGGCUUAACCCUGAGCUUGCAGUGGGUACGGGCAGACUAGAGUGCGGUAGGGGAGACUGGAAUUCCUGGUGUAGCGGUGAAAUGCGCAGAUAUCAGGAGGAACACCGGUGGCGAAGGCGG
Molecule: ribosomal RNA, 201 nt
Filed under: uncultured bacterium
Lineage: Bacteria
Description: partial 16S ribosomal RNA
Rfam family: Bacterial small subunit ribosomal RNA
Source: RNAcentral